GAUGAACGCUAGCGGCAGGCCUAAUACAUGCAAGUCGAACGAUACUUUCCAGCUUGCUGGAAAGGAAAGUGGCGCACGGGUGCGUAACGCGUAUGCAACCUACCUUAAUCAGGGGGAUAGCCCGAAGAAAUUCGGAUUAACACCGCAUAAAAUCACAGUACAGCAUUGUACAAUGAUCAAAUAUUUAUAGGAUUAAGAUGGGCAUGCGUGACAUUAGCUAGUUGGCGGGGUAACGGCCCACCAAGGCGACGAUGUCUAGGGGAUCUGAGAGGAUGAACCCCCACACUGGUACUGAGACACGGAUCAGAAGCCUACGGGAGGCAGCAGUAAGAAAUAUUGGGCAAUGGAGGCAACUCUGAACCAGCGAUGCCGCGUGCAGGAAGACAGCCCUCUGGGUCGUAAACUGCUUUUAUUCGGGAAUAAACCUACUUACGUGUAAGUAGCUGAAUGUACCGAAGGAAUAAGGAUCGGCUAACUCCGUGCCAGCCGCCGCGGUAA
Molecule: ribosomal RNA, 498 nt
Filed under: uncultured bacterium
Lineage: Bacteria
Description: partial 16S ribosomal RNA
Rfam family: Bacterial small subunit ribosomal RNA
Source: RNAcentral